AGGUUUCUCUCUUGGUUAGUUCGUUUGGGGGUCGAAUAUUCGUUUCUUCAGAGGCGCAGAUUUUGAUCCUUCCGAACAAUAUUGUAGUUCACUGGAAAUGCACGGCCGGCCGCACAAGCCUCAGAAGCCGGAGGAAGAAGGAGCUUCGCCAGUGGAAGCUGGAAAGCUUCGAAAUCUACAAUCUCAAUUGCUAGCAAAUCACCACCAAAAGAACUAUAUGAUAAGGAAGCUCUAGAAGUCAGCGCUAGUUCACUGGAAAUGAAUCUGAAUCUAUUUACGGCUUGGAACAACACUACUUGAAGGAAUCUCCAUCAGACAUAAAGUCGAUCAAAGCGAUUUUCAACGAGGAACUUAGAGUAGCUGAAAGUUUUCUGCGUCAGAACGUCAAGUCGGCGUGUGGUAUCAUCGAAAAUGGAUUUUGAACAAGGAGCAUUCGUCCACCGAUCAGGAGUUGCGAACGCCAGGAAUUUUUAUGCAUGGAACUACAGAACGUACCUGCUUGCAUUCUUCCGAUUCAGUCCUUCUAGGCUGAUAGCCGCAGUUUGCAUGUACAUUUUAAAGGUAACAGUUAGCGUAUUUCUUCUUUGUCCGUUCCUCGGACUUGUGGCAGGCUAACGAGCAGACACGAGGAGAAGAACUGGAUGACACAACAGAUAUGAUAGAUACAAACUUCAAGAGUUAUUCAGUCUUGCAUAAUCGCAGAGUAAUUCAGACUUGCUCAACACAGAUCUCAACCGUUAAGACUUUUGUCUGAGUUCUGUUAGCCAUUUGAUGAACUUGGUCGGAAAAGUUGUUUGGUGAGAUUAAUCGAAACUCGUGUAAGCUGACUACAUAUAGAUAUAAAGAAUAUAUCUAUAUUAUGAAAGCUUCUACCUCGUAAAAUUGGAAAGCUCACUCUUGCUAGAUUGUUAUGGCACAUGCUGUAACAUCUCCACACGCCAACAAAAUGGAUGGUCCAACUUGACGAAGUUCUUGACCUUUACCGACCUGAUGAUGUUGGAUCCACCACAUGUUCAUUACUACAAGGUUCAACACAUCUUAGUUUUAUUUGCAGAAGGAAGAGGGAAUGACAUUCUGGUUUCUUCACAUGUUACAUUGACUGGUGAGUUUUGUCAAGACGUCGUUGUUCCUACAAAGAGCAGGCAUCACCAUAUAUUGACAGUACUACAUCCUGUCUAGCCUCAAUAAUUUAUCAAUUUCAUGUAUUGAAUCUACACAAAAAGACUACCGCUGGGUGCAAAUGCUCGACCUCAACAACAAUGAACUUCGAUCAAUUGAAGGAUUGAAGGCCAUGCAGCUCCUCUCUUGCUCGAGUUUGGGUAACAAUAAUAUUAGAUGAUUUUACUACGUUGGAGCUAUAGCCUCUUAGCGACUUUCUGGCAUGUUACUGCAAAGCUUAUUUUCUAUUAAAAGAUUUAAGCAUGAAGCAAUUGGAUAUUGAAAGAGACACGAUAUCUAAUGAAAGGAUUAAAAGAAUACUGAUAUUGUUAUACCAAAAUUUGAACGAUUGUAGGUUCAAUAAUCUGACAUUAGUAUAGAAAUUAGUAUAGAAAUUAGAAAGAAAUUAGAAAGAAAUGUGAAAUGGAAGAAGAAUUGAGAAGUGGAAGAAAGAUAAGACCAUUGCAAUAGGUUAGAGGUAUAUUCUCGUGCUUGUUUUCUACGUGCAUUUGAAA
Molecule: long non-coding RNA, 1673 nt
Organism: Cucumis sativus (cucumber)
Lineage: Eukaryota; Viridiplantae; Streptophyta; Magnoliopsida; Cucurbitales; Cucurbitaceae
Exons: 8
Source: RefSeq, a predicted model, not a curated record